Non-coding RNA from Physcomitrium patens, 572 nucleotides. The record is from RefSeq and is a predicted model, not a curated record. NCBI's taxonomy places the organism in Eukaryota, Viridiplantae, Streptophyta, Bryopsida, Funariales, Funariaceae.
CGCCGCCUUGGAAGGGAAUUGACUGGUGGUACACGGAGCUGAGCGAUCCGGACCCCGCUCGGCGCGCAGUUUGGCCGAAUUUGCCAUUCUAAAGCAGAAUCGCAUUCGGCCGAAUCUGGCGAAGGUCGUGAGUUGAAUCCCAUUGCCCCUGACCUUAGAAUCCAAGGAUGGAAGUGAAGGAUCCGAGAGGUCAAACUACGAGCGCCUUAUAUUCAGUUCGUGUGGGACAACAGACUGCUUCGAAACCCCAAUUCGAGCUCAGCUCUAUCUUCUUCCUGCCCUUUCUGCCUGCUGACCUAAUCAACCUUUCCAGACAAUUCUAGAAAAUGGUCACUGGAAUGCUCAAGCCAAGAAUACAGUCUUCAAAUGAAAAGUUGAAGCAUGAAAGAUAAGAUUCAAAAAAGCAUUAUGGAAUCUUCAUGCUUGGUUGAGAAACCAAGAGGGUGCAACUUUAAAAGCGUGUGAUUGGCUAAAAUUGAGAAGUCUCAAUUUGUUGGCUUUGUCCUCAUAAAAAUUGACAAAAAUAAAGUUAUGAGAAAAAAUAAAAUAAAGUGAAAUAUACUUCUUGAGUA